This 390-nucleotide long non-coding RNA is filed under the name Homo sapiens (human). Its description in RNAcentral is "non-protein coding lnc-PRKN-22:4". Lineage: Eukaryota; Metazoa; Chordata; Mammalia; Primates; Hominidae. The record is from RNAcentral.
AGUCCUGGGCUGGCCCCAUUGUCAGCAGCAACAACACUUGCUCUAAAGCUGGCCAGGGGUCGCCACCAAGACCCAGUGUUGAAAGCCACUGUGUCAUUGCAGGACCAAGUGGAAAAGGAGAGGCUGCCUCCCUCCUGCGCCUGCCCUAGAAACAGUGGGCCUGGCAGUUAGUGGAGGGAGCUUAGGAGAUCCCGUCUUCCGGAAGGUCCAGGAGCUCACCACGCCUGUUAGAUUCCAUGAUGAUAUUCUAGCACAGAGAGUUGUGGGCUAACCCAGGGUUUAAACUGUGAUGUCCAAGCAACUGUUGGGCUGCAUUAUGCCAGCUCAAGGGCUUUCUCCAAUCCCUGCCCCGAGGUGGCCACCGCAGCAGUGUAGGAGAGUGAAGGAGCC